GUCUACGGCCAUACUACCCUGAACAUGUCCAAACUCAUCUGAUACUGGAAACUAAGUGGGGUCAGGCCUGGUUAGUACUUGGAUGGGAGAAAGUAGCAAGCAGGGAGGAGGAGCAA
This 116-nucleotide ribosomal RNA is filed under the name Chinchilla lanigera (long-tailed chinchilla). The record is from RNAcentral. Lineage: Eukaryota; Metazoa; Chordata; Mammalia; Rodentia; Chinchillidae.